CGGACAGGUGAGUAACGCGUGAGGAACCUGCCUCAAAGAGGGGGACAACAGUUGGAAACGACUGCUAAUACCGCAUAAGCCCACGGUUCGGCAUCGAGCAGAGGGAAAAGGAGCAAUCCGCUUUGAGAUGGCCUCGCGUCCGAUUAGCUAGUUGGUGAGGUAACGGCCCACCAAGGCGACGAUCGGUAGCCGGACUGGGAGGUUGAACGGCCACAUUGGGACUGAGACACGGCCCAG
Molecule: ribosomal RNA, 237 nt
Filed under: uncultured bacterium
Lineage: Bacteria
Description: partial 16S ribosomal RNA
Rfam family: Bacterial small subunit ribosomal RNA
Source: RNAcentral